UACAGAGGUCUCGAGCGUUGUUCGGAUUCAUUGGGCGUAAAGGGUGCGUAGGUGGCGCUGUAAGUCAGGUGUGAAAUUUCGGAGCUUAACUCCGAAACUGCAUUCGAUACUGCCGUGCUUGAGGACUGGAGAGGAGACUGGAAUUUACGGUGUAGCGGUGAAAUGCGUAGAUAUCGGGAGGAACACCUGUGGCGAAAGCGGCUCACUGGACCACAACUGACGCUGAGGCGCGAAAGCUAGGGGAGCAACAGGG
This 253-nucleotide ribosomal RNA is filed under the name uncultured bacterium. RNAcentral describes it as "partial 16S ribosomal RNA". It matches the Rfam family "Bacterial small subunit ribosomal RNA", at positions 524 to 776 of the family's 1533-position model. The record is from RNAcentral.